Molecule: ribosomal RNA, 276 nt
Filed under: uncultured prokaryote
Description: partial 16S ribosomal RNA
Rfam family: Bacterial small subunit ribosomal RNA
Source: RNAcentral
UACGUAGGGGGCUAGCGUUAUCCGGAUUUACUGGGCGUAAAGGGUGCGUAGGUGGUUUCUUAAGUCAGAUGUGAAAGGCUACGGCUCAACCGUAGUAAGCCUUUGAAACUGGGAAACUUGAGUGCAGGAGAGGAGAGUGGAAUUCCUAGUGUAGCGGUGAAAUGCGUAGAUAUUAGGAGGAACACCAGUUGCGAAGGCGGCUCUCUGGACUGUAACUGACACUGAGGCACGAAAGCGUGGGGAGCAAAUAGGAUUAGAUACCCUGGUAGUCCCUGA